Molecule: ribosomal RNA, 459 nt
Filed under: uncultured bacterium
Lineage: Bacteria
Description: partial 16S ribosomal RNA
Rfam family: Bacterial small subunit ribosomal RNA
Source: RNAcentral
CCUACGGGAGACAGCAGUGAGGAAUAUUGGUCAAUGGCCGGAAGGCUGAACCAGCCAAGCCGCGUGAAGGACGAAGGUGCCAAGCAUUGUAAACUUCUUUUGUCAAGGGACAAAAUCAGGCUCGAGAGCCUGACCGAGGGUACUUGAAGAAAAAGCAUCGGCUAACUCCAUGCAAGCAGCCGCGGUAAUACGGAGGAUGCGAGCGUUAUCCGGAUUUAUUGGGUUUAAAGGGUGCGUAGGCGGGCUGUUAAGUCAGCGGUAAAAGCCCGGGGCUCAACCCCGGCGAGCCGUUGAAACUGGCUGUCUUGAGAUGUCGAGAGGUAUGCGGAAUGCGCAGUGUAGCGGUGAAAUGCUUAGAUAUUGCGCAGAACUCCGAUUGCGAAGGCAGCAUACCGGCGGCGAUCUGACGCUGAGGCACGAAAGCGUGGGUAUCGAACAGGAUUAGAUACCCGGGUAGUC